AAAGAUGGCGGUGACUGGUUCAGUUUGCUUCAGGAUCCACAGCAGGCUUUACCUGUCAUUGAAGGGUCAACGUGCAGGACUUUGUGAACGAAUAUCAAGUUUCAGAUUUUAUUCUGGAAGUACAACCCUCCCAAAAGUUGAAGGAACUGAUGUAACAAGGAUUGAAGAAGUGGUUAUUCCAAGAAAGAAAUCUUGGGAUAAAGUGGCCGUUCUUCAGGCACUUGCUUCCACAGUAAACAGGGACACCACAGCUGCACCUUAUGCAUUUCAAGAUGAUCCCUACCUUAUUCCAGCAUCUUCUGUGGAAUCUUGUUCAUUUUUACUGGCAAAGAAGUCUGGGGAGAAUGCAGCAAAGUUUAUUAUUAAUUCACAUCCCAAAUAUUUUCAAAAGGACAUAGCUGAACCACAUAUACCGUGUUUAAUGCCUGAGUGCUUUGAACCUCAGAUCGAAGAAGUAAGUGAAGCUGCCCUAAAGGAACGAAUCAAGCUCAAAAAAGUCAAAUCCUCUGUGGACCUGUUUGAUCAGCUUUUGCAAGCAGGAACCACUGUGUCUCUUGAAACAACAAAUAAUCUCUUGGAUUUACUGUGUUACUAUGAUGACCACGAGCCCUCCACUGAUUAUCCUUUUCAGCAAACUGAACCGUCAGAGGAAUUGGAAGAGGAAAGUAACAAGAAAUUUAGGAAGAAGGCUGGUCAUUAGAUUGGAGCUACAUGGAGCGCAAAAAAACAAUACUGAGAGAAUCUUUACAUUGAUGCCAUAGAAAAAUUCACAUUCCUACUGCACAGUGAUCCGAGGGAUGGUGAAGCAUCGAGCUUAUGAGCCGGCAUUAAACUUGUACACUGAAUUAUUAAACAACAGACUCCAUGCUGAUGUAUACAUUCAGUGCAUUGAUUGAAGCAACAAUGUUGGGGCUGAAUGCGGGUUUUGAGGAAAAAUGGAAUAAAACACUGGAAGUACUGAAACAAAUGGUUGCACAGAAGGUGAAACCAAAUCUACAGACUUUUAAUACCAUUUUGAAAUGUCUCCGAAGAUUUCAUGUACUUGCAAGAUUGCCAGCAAUACAGUCUUUCCGAGAAACGAAAGCCAUUGGAAUAGAACCCUCGCUUGCAACAUAUCACCAUAUUAUUCAGCUAUUUUAUCAACAUGAAAACAUUUCAAAAGGAUCAUCCUUGAUCAUCUAUGAUAUAAUGAAUGAAUUAAUGGGAAAGAAAUUUUCUCCAAAGGAUCUGGAUGAUGGUAUGUUUUUUCAGUCAGCCAUGAGAGUUUGCUCAUCUCUCAGAGAUCUGGAACUUGCUUACCAAGUACAUGGCCUUUUAAACACUGGAGAUAACCGGAAAUUUAUGGGACCUGAUUAUCGCCGUCAUUUCUAUUAUUCCAAGUUCUUCACUUUAAUUUGUCUAAUGGAACGAAUUGAUGUCACCUUGAAGUGGUAUAAGGACCUGAUACCUUCAGUUUUCUUUCCCCACUCCCAAACAUUGGUAGAUCUUCUCCAAGCAUUGGAUGUGGCCAAUCGGCUAGAAGUGAUUCCUCGGAUUUGGAAAGAUAGUAAAGAAUGUGGUCAUACUUUCCACAAUGACCUGAAGGAAGAGAUUCUGAUUCUUAUGGCAAGGGAUAAGCAUCCACCAGAGCUUCUGGAGGAGUUUGCUGACUGUGCCGCUGACAUCAAAUCUGCUUAUGAAAGCCAAGAUGGCAGACAGACUGCUCCAGAUUGGCCAGCCAUCCCUCUCAACUGUAUAGCUGUCCUCUUUUUAAGGGCUGGGAGAACCCAUGAAGCAUGGAAAAUGUUGGGGCUUUUCAGGAAGCAUAAUAAGAUCCUUAGAAAUGAGUUGCUGAAUGAGUUCAUGGACAGUGCAAAAGUGUCCAAUAGCCCUGCCCAGGCCAUUGAAGUGGUAAAACUGGCGAGUGCUUUCAGCUUACCUAUUUGCGAGAGCCUUUUCCAAAGAGUAAUGACUGACUUUGCCAUCAGCCAGGAACAAAAGGAAGCCCUAGAAAACCUAACUGCAUGGACCAGUGACAGUGAUAGUGACAGCAGCAGUGACAGCGACAGUGACAUCAAUGAAGGCAAAUGAAAGUGGGAUAUUCAGUAGUAAUGAUGACAUCACCGUAGCUGCUGGACUCACACUUGAAAAGAUACUAAUAUUUAACAAUGUUUCAAAGAAAUAGAGGAUGCAGAUUUGGUGAAUUUUGGUACUGUGAAACAGUGGACAGAUGCUACGUUAUAAUUUGCUACUAGCCAAACCACCUAUUAAGUGUAGCAUUCCAGGCUUACCAUGUAAGCUGCAGCUCUUGUGGUCAGGAUAAGAUCUGUAUAUCUGAAGUGCUGGUAGGCUGACC
This is an RNA transcript of Nycticebus coucang (slow loris), 2335 nucleotides long. It is a transcript of the gene named pentatricopeptide repeat domain-containing protein 3, mitochondrial-like, with no coding region annotated. The record is from RefSeq and is a predicted model, not a curated record. The transcript has a single exon. NCBI's taxonomy places the organism in Eukaryota, Metazoa, Chordata, Mammalia, Primates, Lorisidae.